RNAcentral lists this ribosomal RNA (348 nucleotides) under Staphylococcus saprophyticus. RNAcentral's name for it is "bacterial SSU rRNA". It matches the Rfam family "Bacterial small subunit ribosomal RNA", at positions 57 to 395 of the family's 1533-position model. The record is from RNAcentral. Lineage: Bacteria; Bacillati; Bacillota; Bacilli; Caryophanales; Staphylococcaceae.
GCAGUCGAGCGAACAGAUAAGGAGCUUGCUCCUUUGACGUUAGCGGCGGACGGGUGAGUAACACGUGGGUAACCUACCUAUAAGACUGGGAUAACUUCGGGAAACCGGAGCUAAUACCGGAUAACAUUUGGAACCGCAUGGUUCUAAAGUGAAAGAUGGUUUUGCUAUCACUUAUAGAUGGACCCGCGCCGUAUUAGCUAGUUGGUAAGGUAACGGCUUACCAAGGCGACGAUACGUAGCCGACCUGAGAGGGUGAUCGGCCACACUGGAAGUGAGACACGGUCCAGACUCCUACGGGAGGCAGCAGUAGGGAAUCUUCCGCAAUGGGCGAAAGCCUGACGGAGCAAC